RNAcentral lists this ribosomal RNA (497 nucleotides) under uncultured bacterium. RNAcentral's name for it is "partial 16S ribosomal RNA". It matches the Rfam family "Bacterial small subunit ribosomal RNA", at positions 28 to 507 of the family's 1533-position model. The record is from RNAcentral.
GACGAACGCUGGCGGCGUGCCUAAUACAUGCAAGUUGAGCGCUGAAGGUUGGUACUUGUACCAACUGGAUGAGCAGCGAACGGGUGAGUAACGCGUGGGGAAUCUGCCUUUGAGCGGGGGACAACAUUUGGAAACGAAUGCUAAUACCGCAUAAAAACUUUAACCACAAGUUUUAAGUUUGAAAGAUGCAAUUGCAUCACUCAAAGAUGAUCCCGCGUUGUAUUAGCUAGUUGGUGAGGUAAAGGCCAACCAAGGCGAUGAUACAUAGCCGACCUGAGAGGGUGAUCGGCCACAUUGGGACUGAGACACGGCCCAAACUCCUACGGGAGGCAGCAGUAGGGAAUCUUCGGCAAUGGACGAAAGUCUGACCGAGCAACGCCGCGUGAGUGAAGAAGGGUUUCGGAUCGUAAAACUCUGUUGGUAGAGAAGAACGUUGGUGAGAGUGGAAAGCUCAUCAAGUGACGGUAACUACCCAGAAAGGGACGGCUAACUACGUG